GAACUGUUGUUAAGGAACUCGGCAAAAUGACCCCGUAACUUAGGGAUAAGGGGUGCCACCAUCAGGUGGCCGCAGAGAAUAGGCCCAAGCGACUGUUUACCAAAAACAUAGGUUUCUGCUAAGUCGCAAGACGAUGUAUAGGAGCUGACGCCUGCCCGGUGCUGGAAGGUUAAGGGGAUCUGUUAGAGCAAUCGAAGCAGUGAACUUAAGCCCCAGUAAACGGCGGCCGUAACUAUAACGGUCCUAAGGUAGCGAAAUUCCUUGUCGGGUAAGUUCCGACCCGCACGAAAGGCGUAACGAUUUGGGCACUGUCUCAACAACAGACUCGGUGAAAUUGUAAUUCCGGUGAAGAUGCCGGAUACCUGCGACAGGACGGAAAGACCCCAUGGAGCUUUACUGUAGCUUGACAUUGGGUCUUGGUACUACAUGUACAGGAUAGGUGGGAGGCUUUGAAACCAGGACGCCAGUUUUGGCGGAGCCAUCCUUGGGAUACCACCCUUGUAGUACUGGGACUCUAACCAUAGGCCAUGAAUCUGGUCUUGGGACACUGUCAGGUGGGCAGUUUGACUGGGGCGGUCGCCUCCCAAAAGGUAACGGAGGCGCUCAAAGGUUCUCUCAGUACGGUCGGAAAUCGUACGUAGAGUGUAAAGGCAAAAGAGAGCUUGAUUGCAAGACAUACAGGUCGAGCAAGGAUGAAAAUCGGACUUAGUGAUCCGGUGGUUCUGCGUGGAAGGGCCAUCGCUCAACGGAUAAAAGCUACCCUGGGGAUAACAGGCUUAUCUCCCCCAAGAGUCCACAUCGACGGGGAGGUUUGGCACCUCGAUGUCGGCUCAUCACAUCCUGGGGCUGUAGUAGGUCCCAAGGGUUGGGCUGUUCGCCCAUUAAAGUGGUACGCGAGCUGGGUUCAGAACGUCGUGAGACAGUUCGGUCCCUAUCCGUCGCAGGCGUAGGAAAUUUGAGAAGACCUGUCCUUAGUACGAGAGGACCGGGAUGGACGUACCUCUGGUGUACCAGUUGUCCUGCCAAGGGCAUGGCUGGGUAGCUAUGUACGGAAUGGAUAAGCGCUGAAAGCAUCUAAGCGCGAAGCCAACUUCAAGAUAAGAUUUCCCACCGCAAGGGUAAGACCCCAGAAAGACUAUCUGGUUGAUAGGUCGAAGGUGUAAGUGCAGCAAUGUAUUUAGCUUAUCGAUACUAAUAG
This 1198-nucleotide ribosomal RNA is filed under the name Clostridioides difficile. RNAcentral describes it as "partial 23S ribosomal RNA". It matches the Rfam family "Bacterial large subunit ribosomal RNA", at positions 1696 to 2907 of the family's 2925-position model. Lineage: Bacteria; Bacillati; Bacillota; Clostridia; Peptostreptococcales; Peptostreptococcaceae. The record is from RNAcentral.